UAAGUGGAGAGUUUGAUCCUGGCUCAGAACGAACGCUGGCGGCGUGCUUAACACAUGCAAGUCGAGCGAGAAAGGGGGGGGCAACUCCCCUGAGUAAAGCGGCGCACGGGUGAGUAACGCGUGGGUAACCUACCUCCAGGCGGGGGAUAACUACUCGAAAGGGUGGCUAAUACCGCAUGAGACCACGGGGUCCUCGGACCCUGAGGCCAAAGGCUGCAUCGGCUUGCCGGUGUAGUCACCAGGAGAUGGGCCCGCGUCCGAUUAGCUAGUUGGUGAGGUAAUGGCUCACCAAGGCUACGAUCGGUAGCUGGUCUGAGAGGAUGAUCAGCCACACUGGAACUGGAACACGGUCCAGACUCCUACGGGAGGCAGCAGUGAGGAAUAUUGCGCAAUGGGGGAAACCCUGACGCAGCAACGCCGCGUGGGUGAAGAAGGCCUUCGGGUCGUAAAGCCCUUUCGGACGGGACGAACGUUCCGCGGGGUCAAGCCGCGGAAUCUGACGGUACCGUAAGAAGAAGCACCGGCUAACUCCGUGCCAGCAGCCGCGGUAAUACGGAGGGUGCAAGCGUUGUUCGGAAUUACUGGGCGUAAAGCGCGUGUAGGCGGCCUAGCAAGUCAGACGUGAAAGCCCUCGGCUUAACCGGGGAAGUGCGCCUGAAACUGCUAGGCUUGAGUACGGGAGAGGGAGGCGGAAUUCCCAGUGUAGAGGUGAAAUUCGUAGAUAUUGGGAGGAACACCGGUGGCGAAAGCGGCCUCCUGGACCGAUACUGACGCUGAGACGCGAGAGCGUGGGGAGCAAACAGGAUUAGAUACCCUGGUAGUCCACGCUGUAAACGAUGGGCACUAGGUGUGGGGGGUAUCCACUCCUCCCGUGCCGAAGCUAACGCAUUAAGUGCCCCGCCUGGGGAGUACGGCCGCAAGGUUAAAACUCAAAGGAAUUGACGGGGGCCCGCACAAGCGGUGGAGCAUG
This 970-nucleotide ribosomal RNA is filed under the name Deltaproteobacteria bacterium. RNAcentral's name for it is "bacterial SSU rRNA". It matches the Rfam family "Bacterial small subunit ribosomal RNA", at positions 1 to 941 of the family's 1533-position model. The record is from RNAcentral. Lineage: Bacteria; Pseudomonadati; Myxococcota; Myxococcia.